Molecule: long non-coding RNA, 1875 nt
Organism: Piliocolobus tephrosceles (Ugandan red Colobus)
Lineage: Eukaryota; Metazoa; Chordata; Mammalia; Primates; Cercopithecidae
Exons: 4
Source: RefSeq, a predicted model, not a curated record
AAAAAAAAAAUUAGCCAGGCAUGGUAGUGCAUACCUGUGGUCCCAACUACUUGAGAAACUGAAGUAGGAGGAUCACUUGAGCCUGAAAGAAUUGAGACUGCAAUGAGCUGUUAUCAUUCCCCUCCUUUGGGUUUCUAAGUUAGACACAUGCAAUCAGCAUACCCAAAUCCUUAGCCCUGCACUGUCAGACUAUAUUUAAUAUAUCUAAGGCUCUAGACAGCCGUGAGAAAAAGCUUUGAGGUUGGAGCGCCAAUUAGGAAGGUGAGGAGACUAGGGCAUAAAGAGGAAAUCAGAUCUGCUAGACAAGACAUUACAUAGGCUUAAUAGGGACCUAUUUUUGCUUCUGAGACAUGAUGUCUCUUGUGGUGAAGACCUUGAACUAAUUAUCAAAAUGGAGGGAAAUAUAAUUUCUAGUAUUUGGAAGCUGUCCACAAGCCCAUGGUUCUCUGUAUAAUUCAUAUUAUUCUAAAUAUAAAACUACAUUGAAAGUAUUCUAAUGCUUCAGGAAAUUGAAAGUAAUUUUGAAAACCUUUCUCCUUUCUAGUUGCAGAAGUCUCAGAAGUUUUUAUUUUGAGAAUUGACACUUUACCUUCCAGUGGCCUUGAAGAAAGGAGAGGAAGGACAGCAGGGUUACCUCACCAGUCCAGCUCCAGCACCCCCUCACCCCCUUCCCAGAUCAGGAGACCUGAAGUCCAAAAUCAAGGUGUCAGCAAGGUUGGACCCUUCUGAGGGCUGUCAAGGAGAAAGCAUCCAGGCCUCUCCUGGCUUCUGGUGCCUGCCAGCAAUCCUUGGCUUUCCCCAGCUUGUCACAGGUUCACAUUUAUUUUCCGUCACUGGCAACCACAGCAGUCUGAAUUAUCAUCUCAGUGCAAAAAUAAAUGUUGGCUCAUGUUGGUAAUGAAGAGGUCAGUAAAAAAAAGAAAUCAAGCUGGGCAACAUUAGAAAUCAAGCUGAGCGUGGUGGAACGCACCUGUAGUCCUAGCUACUCAAGAGGCUGAGGCAGGAGGAUUGCUUGAGCCCAGUAGGUCAGGGUUGCAGUGAGCUAUGGUUGUGCCACUGCACUCCAGCCUGGGUGACAGAGCAAGAGACCCUAUCUCAAAAAAAUAAAAAGGAAUAAAAAAGAAAUCAUGUUUUGUUUUCAAUUUAAUAUUUGAGAAUAAAGUAUUUAAGUAAACCAGUGUGUUUUAAUCAGGGGGUUAACAAAAACGUAUUGAUGACUCUCUCAUUCAAUAUAAAAGAGUAAAAGUGACAUAUUCAAAUAGUCUCUUUUUUUAAUGGCUUCAUCUUGUAGAAGACCAGCUUCCAAAAUGGUCCCCAAAUUCCCUUCCCUUGAGUGUGAGUUGAAUCUGGUAACUUGCUUCUGACAAGUAGAAUAUAGCAAAGGUGAUGGAAUAUCAUGUCUGUGAUUAGGUCACAAGAGGUUGUAAUGCAGGCUCUCUCUCUCGCUGGCUUUGAUGAAGCUGCCAUGUUAGAGAGGCCCACAUGGCCAGGAACUGAAGGUGGCUUCCACCAACAGCCAGCGAGAAACUGAGGCCCUCGGUCCAGCAGCCUGUAAGAAACUGAAUCCUGCCACCAAUUGUUUAGAAGCGGAUCAGUGCCCAGUUGAACCUCGACUGCAGCUGGGUGAGACUCCCAGCGAAACCGUACCCAGAUUCCUGACACACAGAAACUGGGACAUAAUACACGCAUGUGGUUUGAAGCCACUAAAUGUUGGGGUAAUCUGUUACAAAGCAAUAGAUACUGAAUUCAACUCUGGUAAUAAAAGUCCCAUUAUAUAAAAAGCAGAAUUUUUAAAAAAUCAACAGAAUAAACAAACAGAAGUGAAGUCAAGGAGCUGUUCUGUGUACUCAAAGUACUUAAGUAUGUAAUUUACUU